This 5380-nucleotide long non-coding RNA is filed under the name Heterocephalus glaber (naked mole-rat). RNAcentral's name for it is "lncRNA (ENSHGLG00100038652.1)". The record is from RNAcentral. Lineage: Eukaryota; Metazoa; Chordata; Mammalia; Rodentia; Bathyergidae.
CUGAGCUAAAUCCCCAGCAACUUUAGGGAAUUAUAUUGACAAAAUAUUACAUUGCAAGAGUUUGUAUUUUAUUUUGCUCCAAUGAUUUUAUAGCUCUUGUGAUAUGGUACUAUUGAAAUGUAAAAUAUUCCACUGUUUGAAAAAGAAAACAUAUAUCACGAAGAAUAUUUCCUUCUCCCAGCAACAAUGCCUCAAAUGCUUCUUUCAUUGAAUGUGCCUGCCUAACUAAUUUUGGAAUAUGUGCACACUUAAGACUUGGCAUCAUACUUCGCAUACUGAAAGAAAAACAAAACCCUGUUUUGAAAGUCUUUAAGGUUAAGCACUUCAGAGGCUGAGACAGGAGGAUCACUAUGAGUUUGAGGCCAGCCUGAACUACAUAGUGAGACCCUGUCUUAAAAACACAAAAAACGAGAAAAUACUUAACAUUUAAGGUUAAGAUGGCAUAAUUAAGUAGAAAAUGUUCUCCUUUACCAGCUGUCUCAAAAAUUUCAUGUCCAAUCUUAUCAGCAAAAUUCAGAAGCGUUGGUAGACCUUUUUCAAAAAUCAUACAAAGCUUUAUUUGCAUUUUAUACAAAGGCCAGUAUUUCAUGGAUGUUUAUUGCUCUCUGAGGUCUGAAGGGAGAAAAUAGCUUUAGUAAGGAUGGGAUUCUUAUUAAAAUGAAAGUGUUAUACAUGGUACAUGAUCUUGUGUUUUUUAGCUAUAUAGCUCAGAAGCCCAUUUAGUAUAUUUAAACUGUAAAUUUUGCAUGCACCCACGGACUAAACUGUAAAUUUUGCAUGCACCCACGGCUAAUUAAGCUUCUAGAAAAUAUCUUUUUACCUAAGUGCUUCUGGGGUCUAUAAGGUGAUUGAAUCAGGAGUGGAUAAAAUUAUGUUUGAGUUACUCUUCUACUUUGCUUUAUGCUUCCUAGGUGAUAUGCGGAGUUCAAUCAAAGUGCAUUCUAGUUGUCCUCACACAAAACUACUUUUGGGAUUUGAUAUGUUCAGGCAGGUACUUGUGGUUGCCAUAAUUAAGGAAUUUAUAAUAUUAAUAGGGCUGGCAGCUUUGGAUGUACCUUCUGUCCACUCCUGUUACCAUAUUUAAAAAGCAGAAACAAAUAUUUUGUCUGGCACUAGUUUCUAUAAAAGGUUUUACUACUAGUGAUAAUAACAGGACCAGCAGAUGAGGAUCAGCUUUCCAGUGGCUGCUAGAAUUAUAUGAUUUGAAUACAUUGUAUUUUAGUAAUUUCUCACACAUUUGCUGUUAGAUGUGGGGAAAAUACCUAUUCCACUGAUCAAGUUACAGAAUGAACGUAUUUUAAAUUUAUUUAGGGGGAAAUGCCCCUCUCCCCCCCAAAAAAGCAAAGAGUGGAAUUGUAGUAGACAAAAGGAGCUGCUCUUUUUCCUUUGUUUGCUUGAUCAUUGGGAUUUAAAAAUUUUUUUAAUGCAUGUCUUUUAAAUUAAUUGGGUAAUGUUUUUCUAAAAUUAAAAUUUUCUUCUUCCUAUAGCCCUGCCAUAGGACAGGCUGAGGCUGAGUCUCAGUGUUGCCCUGUUCAGUCUGAGCAGCAGAAUUUCAGCAUUUGCUACUUACUGGUAGAGAAGAAAAAUCCCACAGCACUGCCAGUACAGGUUAGUUUAAUCUGUAAGUACCUGAUGUUCCUAUUUUUUUCAAACAUAUCCAUAUAACCCACACAAGGAAGAAAGCUGUGCAGUACUUAAAUGUGAGUAUAACUAAUAAUAGAUCCAUUGGACACUUUCAAACACUUAGUACUUGGGGCAAAGUACUUCUAGGUUUGCUAGCUGCAGUUGCAAUAAUGGUUUAAUACUUUAUUACCUUGUACCCAAAUUAUGUUGUAUGUAAAAGGAAGAGUGAAAGAUCCAGUUGGUUCCGCCCUUGUUGGUAUACAAUAAAGAGUCCAGGACUUUGAGUCCAGGGUCUUUGACUUAAGCCACUCCAGUGGUGGUUCUCAUAUUCACCUUUUAACUUUACAGUAUGAAUCAACCAGAGAAUAUGUAAGUUUCCUCACUUCUAGCAGUGAUAAAUGAUGUGUAAUCAUAAGUUAGAAAAUAUUUUUAUACUAGUUAUUUGAUCUUAAGUGUUCUUAGUUACAAGUAAAUAAUGAUUUUUUUAUUCAUCUUUUUUUGUUUAAAAAAAAAGUUGUUAAUGUUGCUGUGCCCCCAGGGGUUCAUUGUACUUUGAACUAAAAAUAAUAUUCAGAUGAAAGCUGACUACUUGUCAAGAAACCUAGCAAGAUUUCUCAAGUAAUUUUUUUGGAAGGGCAACAAGGUUUUUGAAAGAUGUUAACAUUUUUUUAUUAACAUUUUUUCAUUGUAACAGAGUUCAUUGAACCAUUCUUGAGAGAUUUUCUUUAACCCUUAAAUAUUACACUUUAUGUUGGUACAACCUAAAAAUACUGAAGAGGGAGGAAUAAAGUCUACAACUUUGUACAAGCCUGAAGCAUCCUUCCAGAUCUGUAGCACUGAUGCUAAACUUGAUGGGUUCCUUCUCUUUAGCUUAAGCAUUAUGUUUAGCUUGAGAUGGUCUAGCCGUGAAAGUAGUUCAUCUUGUACUCUCUUACACUGGAUAGUGAUUAGCCAUUCUGAAAAUAGAACAUCUUUAUCUGGGAGUCCUGUGUUAAGUCUUUAAAAACAAAACCUAGGGGCAGGGAUUUACCUCAGUGGCGCCUUGCCUGCCUCGAAAGUGCAAGGUCCUGAGUUCGAUCCCUGGUACCAAAAAAAAAAAACAACCUGGGUUUGUCAAUUCAUAAGAGAUGUUUUAAGACAAAACUGCCCAAAGGCUUAAGUUUUGUUACCUUUCACAGUUUAAUCUGUAUAAGAAAUGGCAUAGAUACAGUGGAAAUGGUUCUCCUUCAAAUCAUCUCUUUUAAAGCUGCUUUUCUGGUGAGUACUAUCCUGUACUUCUAUGUAUCACCAUUUUUACCUUUUAAAAUUAACUGAAAUCGGACUGAAGAGGUGAGCAAUCUGAAUUUCAUGAUGUCCUUGGAUAUUACUUGCAUUAGGAAUCUUAGAAUGAUUAUUUUACCACCACACAUUUCCCCUACUUCUGCUUUACUUUUUCCCAACCUUCACUUAAUAAAAUAUAUAUACAAACUCAUAAGGCUUAAGGUUUUCCUUUUAGUUGGUAGCCAAAUGAUUUUUCUCAUUGCUUUUAAUUCUUGCAUAAUUUAAAAUACCAGAACUUCUUUGUGUCCUUAUUAAAGCUGACAUUGCAGUGACUCUUGACUAAUUCAGUUGGGAAAGAGGAGGGUUCAUCAAAAUUGGUCGUGCAGACCAAUUGAUUAUAAGGUUCUCUUUAAGUCUUAGUUUUCAAGUGUGUUAUUUCAUAAAUUAUUCAAAUUCUUUGGUUAAAUAUAUUGGUUUCUGGGACUUGUGUAUACCCAUAAAAAUUAGCCUUUGAGUGUUUAUGCCCUGUUUUAUCCUUAACAUGUACAACACAAGGAUUUCUUUCCCUCUGGUUUUUAGCCACAUUCCAGAUGAUGUCAAUAGAGUUUAAAGCUGUUCUCACAUUGUUUUCUGCUUAAUCUUUGUGAAUCUGUAAACUCUCAUGCUUUUUCAUAUAAGCAGUCAUAGUUUGCUAAAUAAAUAUGAAAUUAAUAAUCUUGAGUAUGUGAUACAGUAAUGUUCUUUUAGAUAAACACUCAAAGUAUGAACCCUCAAUUUGUGUCUUAAGAUUUAAUGGAAAGUAAGUUCUAAGGAACUGUGUCCUUUCCUAGCAGGAAAAACCAGACUGAAAAACUGGUAAGUAUGUAAUUUUAAGUGCAUGUCAUAGAGUAAGUAGUCACAUUUCCAUACUGUAAUAGUUAACAAGAAUUCUUAAAUCUCCUUUGCGACUUAAAGUGUAUCUCUUAACAUUUUUCACAAAUCUAUGUGGACAGUGAUUAAACUGAAGUAUACUUGUCUGGUUUUCUUUUUUUAGAAUUUUGUAUAGUAUUUUAAAUACUAAUUUUUUUAUUUCAAGCUUUUUUCAGGGUAGAAAUAAGUGGCUGUCAAAAGAAAAUAUCAAGAAGAUUACUUAAAUAUCUUCGUUUAAAACCCAGUAAUGACUUUCAGUUUACUUAAAUCUUCUGUUUUUCAGCUCUGGUUAAAACUGACACUAGGCAGCUGAUCAAAAUUUAAAAACUCAUUGUACUUUUUGUGGAAUAUUUUAGGAAUUAGUGCAUAAUUGUAAAAUGGCAUUAAGCUAUACUUGAUUUACAUAGAGGCUGUGGUUUUAAGGGAGAAAAAUUUGUUUAAAUUUGGAGACCUCAACCCUAAUGUACUAAUAAUUAAGAUAAUAGAGAUUAGGAGACCUCAACCCUAAUGUACUAAUAAUUAAGAUAAUAGAGAUUAAAGUGAAAAGUUUUUAUUUGGUGCAGCCAUGAAACAUGAUUAUUGGUCCUUUUUAAAAAUCAACCCAGUAUAACAUCUAUUUUAUGAAGUGAUACAAGAUCCCAGAGGGUUGUUAGAAAAGAGGGAGCCUGUCUCUUAAUUUAGUCUCAAGGCUUUACUCUCAGCCUUUAUUUUGUGAAGGAAUGCAGUAAAGAAUAAGUAACCAUAUUUGAACAAUAUGGUUGUAAGAAGUACCUUAACAGCACAUGGGGAGGAUAAAUGGCUAGUCUGAAAGUAUGAUUUAAAUGGUCUAGCUACCCAAAAAUCUUCCCUUAAAGCAUUUUUUAUGUAUCUGUAUUAGCUCAAUAAAGGUUGUAAUUACUAGCUUUUAAAUUUUAUCAGCAUUAAAGGUAUAAUACAUGGAUUAUGUGAGAGUUUUAAUUUUUCUUAUGCAAGUAAUGUUAGUACAUCCCUUCACUUGGUUAAAUAACUAGAAGCUUUUGGAAAACAAAACGAGAAAAUCACAUUUGCAGUAUAUAUGUAAGUUUAAUUUUUGUCCACCAAUAGAUUUUUUUUUUUUUUGGUACCAGGGAUCUAACUCAAGACCUUGUGCUUGUGAGGUAGGUGCAGUGCCUCUGAGCUAAAUCCCUUGCCCUGAGAGAUUUUCUUUUCUUUUUUCUUUUUUUUUUUUGUACCAGGGAUCCAACUAAGGACCUUGUGCUUGGAAGGCAGGCGACAGCACCACUGAGCUAUAUCCCCAGCCCCCGAGAUAUUUUCUUUAUGCAGUCAUACACUAAUUAGAUUAGAACUCAUGAAAGGACAUUGAAAUUGUUUUUCAUUUUUACAGUGCCCUAGGCACUGUUUAUUAGGCUUUUAAGUAAGCCAAAACUAAUGAAUAGUGAUUUCAUUAUCCAGUGAUUUUUAGUUUGUUAGAGAAUUACAAGUUUUACUUGGGCAUUAUUAAAAGUCAGUUUCUUUUUUUACGAGGAAAGGGUGGACUAUCUCCGUCAUUCAUUAACCUUUGAGUACCUGUUGUCUACAAAGAUGAAUAAAAUAAUUCAUUUGUUAUUUA